CUUAGAAGUAAUUGGUGUUCUGUUCACAUCAGCAAUGCCUGAACACGAUGUUCAGGCAAGCUGUCACUGAGCCACGGAUGGCGAAUUGACAGCGGUUGCGUCAAUAUGGAAUCUCUGAUAUCAGAACACCUUAUUACUUCUUAGGUGCGA
Molecule: non-coding RNA, 150 nt
Filed under: human gut metagenome
Source: RNAcentral